Molecule: unclassified non-coding RNA, 342 nt
Filed under: Hevea brasiliensis (rubber tree)
Lineage: Eukaryota; Viridiplantae; Streptophyta; Magnoliopsida; Malpighiales; Euphorbiaceae
Source: RNAcentral
UGUUUGCAUUGUUGGUGUUGCCCGUACUCCAAUGGGGGGCUUCCUUGGUUCUCUUUCCUCGUUGCCAGCCACAAAACUUGGAUCAAUAGCCAUUGAGGGUGCUCUUAAGAAAGCAAAUGUUGAUCCAUCACUAGUAGAAGAAGUCUUCUUUGGAAAUGUCCUCAGUGCAAACCUGGGACAGGCUCCUGCUAGGCAAGCUGCAUUGGGUGCAGGACUACCCAAUACGGUGGUUUGCACCACUGUGAACAAAGUUUGUGCAUCUGGAUUGAAAGCAACUAUGCUUGCAGCUCAAAGUAUUCAGUUGGGCAUCAAUGAGGUGGUUGUGGCUGGUGGAAUGGAAAG